AAUAAUAUAAAAUGAUUAGUUUUUCCUUUUUUAUAUACUAGUGGACCUCAUUAAAUGACAUAUUUUGUCUUUACUUCAUGUACUUAUUGCCAUCCUUGACCAAUUUUUUUUUACCUUAGGUCAUCAUCCUCGUAAGGAUGGAGGGAAAAGUUUAGAACGAAUAUUAUAGAAUCCAAAUGCCCUACAGCUAUAUUUGAAUAAGAC
Molecule: long non-coding RNA, 204 nt
Filed under: Panax ginseng (ginseng)
Lineage: Eukaryota; Viridiplantae; Streptophyta; Magnoliopsida; Apiales; Araliaceae
Description: long non-coding RNA (PGIN_LNC017340)
Source: RNAcentral